GCAGCACUAAGCAGUCGGAUUCCGCUGCCUGGUCACUCAACAGGCACAGCCGCGAACCCUGCCGACCAGCGAGACACCCCUGCGCUCCUGCAGCCUUCAGAGGAAGAUCAAGCAAAAGCGAGUGAUCACACACAGGGAGCGCACACACCACGUUGGACUCAUUCCUUCCAUGCCAGGGGCAGUGCAAGUCGGAGGUUGGUUAAGCCUAGACUGCACAGGGACUCUCUUGGUGCCUGGGCUGCACGUGGUGGGGCAGACUCCUGCCAAUCUUGCCAUCUAAG
Molecule: non-coding RNA, 281 nt
Organism: Pelobates cultripes (western spadefoot toad)
Lineage: Eukaryota; Metazoa; Chordata; Amphibia; Anura; Pelobatidae
Source: the annotation of a GenBank genome assembly